This 516-nucleotide ribosomal RNA is filed under the name uncultured Micromonas. RNAcentral describes it as "bacterial SSU rRNA". It matches the Rfam family "Bacterial small subunit ribosomal RNA", at positions 74 to 625 of the family's 1533-position model. The record is from RNAcentral. Lineage: Eukaryota; Viridiplantae; Chlorophyta; Mamiellophyceae; Mamiellales.
CAUUCUUCGGAAUGUGGAAGAGUGGCGAACGGGUGAGGAACACGUAAGAAUCUGCCCCUCGGUCGGGGACAACUUUUGGAAACGAAAGCUAAUACCCGAUACGCUGUGGAGUGAAAGAAUUUCGCCGAGGGAUGAUCUUGCGUCUGAUUAGCUAGUUGGUGCGGUAAUGGCGCACCAAGGCGACGAUCAGUAGCUGGUCUGAGAGGAUGAACAGCCACAUUGGAACUGAGACACGGUCCAAACUCCUACGGGAGGCAGCAGUGGGGAAUUUUCCGCAAUGGACGAAAGUCUGACGGAGCGACGCUGCGUGAAGGAUGACGGCCUGCGGGUUGUAAACUUCUUUUCUCGAAGAAGAAGCUCUGACGGUAUUCGAGGAAUAAGCAUCGGCUAACUCCGUGCCAGCAGCCGCGGUAAGACGGAGGAUGCGAGUGUUAUUCGGAAUGAUUGGGCGUAAAGCGUCUGUAGGCUGUAUAGAAAGUCUUUUGUUAAAUACCUCGGCUCAACCGAGAUCCAGCA